Molecule: ribosomal RNA, 376 nt
Filed under: uncultured bacterium
Lineage: Bacteria
Description: bacterial SSU rRNA
Rfam family: Bacterial small subunit ribosomal RNA
Source: RNAcentral
GACGAACGCUGGCGGCGUGCUUAACACAUGCAAGUCGAGCGGUAAGGCCCUUUCGGGGGUACACGAGCGGCGAACGGGUGAGUAACACGUGGGUGACCUGCCCUCAGCUCUGGGAUAAGCCUGGGAAACCGGGUCUAAUACUGGAUAGGACUCCAUGCGCAUGUUGUGGGGUGGAAAGCCUUGUGCGGCUGAGGAUGGGCCCGCGGCCUAUCAGCUUGUUGGUGGGGUGANGGCCUACCAAGGCGACGACGGGUAGCCGGCCUGAGAGGGCGACCGGCCACACUGGGACUGAGACACGGCCCAGACUCCGUACGGGGGGCAGCAGGUGGGGAAUCUUGCGCAAUGGGCGAAAGCCUGACGCAGCGACGCCGCGUGA